CGUGAUGAAAAUAUGGAAGUCCAGAAAAUUCAGGCUGAAAAGCAGGCAAGAGAACAGCAGGAAAAACAAGCAGACUUGGACUACGAUACUCAGAGAGAAGCUGCUUUUUUUAAGGAGCGAGAAUUUCGAAGAUAAGGACAUGCUCCUUUUACUACUUCAAGCUUUUUUCAGCAAGCAGAAAGAAUGGAAACUUUUAAUAAAGGCUUUUUAUAGCAGAAGCUGGAGCCUUGAGAAGAAGCAUUGACUACAGCAAGCGUCAUGCCAAAAUCCCCAGAGCUUGAUAACGCUUCAAAUGCGUCCCCAAGUGCACAUUUGCACAUGCUCACUAUUGUGCGAUUGGUGAGUUAAAUGGAUUUUAGUCUACUUCUUCAGCAGCAAGAAGCAAGGUGGAGUGCAGCC
This 399-nucleotide long non-coding RNA is filed under the name Apteryx rowi (Okarito brown kiwi). Its description in RNAcentral is "lncRNA (ENSARWG00000001917.1)". Lineage: Eukaryota; Metazoa; Chordata; Aves; Apterygiformes; Apterygidae. The record is from RNAcentral.